UAUAAUUUAAAGAUUAAUUAUUUUGACUUAUAAAAUAAAAGCUUUAAAAUGUAUUUUAUGCUGUUUCUAUUUUUAAUAGUAAUAUGCAUAGUAAAUGUUUUUGUUAUUCAGAAAGCAUCAAAUUUUUACACAAAAUUUGCUUUUGAUAUAGUAUACAAAUGUGAUAAUAAAGAUAUGUUAAAUAAGUUAUAUAUGCAAUUUAUUCUACUUUCUACAAAUACAUUUUGAAAACAUCUAACACAACCAAAAUUUCAAAGAUUUACUAGAGAUUAUCAAUUAUUAAAUAAUGAGAGCGAGAAAAAUAAUAGUACUGAACGUUGAUUUCAAAAUUAAUCGGAAAUGAUUUUAGUAUAGUGGUUGGGAGAUUGUGGAUUCAAACCUCGAUGUCAUCAUUGUCUUUUUUAAGCGACCAAUUUGACACCUCCUAGCCAUGAAAAAUGAUGACUUGAAAAGAACAAUGGAAAAAAAGAAAAAGAAAAAGAAAGGUAAAAAAUAGAUCCAUGCACGCUUGGUCAUGGAGCUUCGUCGGCUGCCAAUAACAUUGUGAAAUUGUCCAACUCCAUCAAGAAAAGAAAAAAACUGCAACUUUCUCGUCCAUCUUUUGAAAAAUUGCAGUGUGCAAAUAAUGCACACAAUUGUGAAAAAAUCUUUAACAUAAAUGCAAGAUUCACUGCAAUGUAACUCCCACCUCUCCAUAGAGUUCAGUUGUUGCUGUGGAGCAGUUCUAGCACAUUAUGAUUGCAUUGGUUUCUCAUGACAUAACAUCAAGUUUGAGUGAAGCAAAUGAGUUUGUGGUCUCACUUGCUCUAAUUUUGCAGGCUGUGUUCUGUGACCCCAGCUCCACGUUAUUGUGCUACCACACAAUUCACAAGCCUUCAUCAGCCCCGCCUUAUUAACAAGUGCCUCACAUACUUCUCAUCUUCUCAUGCAGAGAUUCAUCUCCUCUCUCGACACAGUUAGUAGAAAUGCAACCCAGAGAUUCCAAAGCAAGACCUAAUCUAAGCACCCACAAUGUGUUGAUUUAUGUGCUCCAUGCCCGAGUUGUGCAUCUCGGACUAAUCUGGUUCACUUCCAGCACCCACAAAGCGAAGGGAGUGAAGCCACACAAUUAACGCAAACGAUCUUGCACAGAGCUUACAAGAUGGUCUCAGCACAUGUUUUAAUGCAAGCUUGUUAUAAGGCGUGCUUCAUUUGAUACAGACUGAUCAAAAAUAGUGACAACACGGGGAUUACCCUUAGAACAAAACUUAC
This 1251-nucleotide long non-coding RNA is filed under the name Physcomitrium patens. Its description in RNAcentral is "long non-coding RNA (PPAT_LNC001137)". Lineage: Eukaryota; Viridiplantae; Streptophyta; Bryopsida; Funariales; Funariaceae. The record is from RNAcentral.